CCUACGGGAGGCAGCAGUGGGGAAUAUUGCACAAUGGGGGAAACCCUGAUGCAGCAACGCCGCGUGAGCGAAGAAGGCCUUCGGGUCGUAAAGCUCUGUCCUAAGGGAAGAAGGAUGACGGUACCUUAGGAGGAAGCCCCGGCUAACUACGUGCCAGCAGCCGCGGUAAUACGUAGGGGGCGAGCGUUAUCCGGAAUCACUGGGCGUAAAGGGUGCGUAGGCGGCCGAUAAAGUCGGGGGUGAAAGGGGACGGCUCAACCGUAGUAAGCCUUGGAAUGUUGUUGGCUUGAGUGCAGGAGGGGAGGGCGGUAGUCCUGGUGUAGCGGUGAGAUGCGUAGAUAUCAGGAGGAACACCAGUGGCGAAGGUGGCUCGCUGGAGUGUAACUGACGCUGAGGCACGAAAGCGUGGGGAGCAAACAGGGGUAGAUACGCUGGUAGUC
Molecule: ribosomal RNA, 440 nt
Filed under: uncultured bacterium
Lineage: Bacteria
Description: bacterial SSU rRNA
Rfam family: Bacterial small subunit ribosomal RNA
Source: RNAcentral